This 771-nucleotide non-coding RNA is filed under the name Abrota ganga. Lineage: Eukaryota; Metazoa; Arthropoda; Insecta; Lepidoptera; Nymphalidae. The record is from RNAcentral.
GAUAAAUUUUUUAUGGUUUUAUAAUUUAUUAUAAAUUUAUUUUACAUAUAAAUUUUAGUGUUAAUUUUUAAUUAUUUUAAUAAUAUUUAAUUAAAAAUUAUAGUAAUUAAAAUUAAAAAUUUAAGAAAUUAAGAUUUAGUAAUAUAGAAAUUAAUAACUAAUUUUGUGCCAGCAGUUGCGGUUAAACAGAAGUUAAAUUAAAUUAUUUCAAUAUAUAAUUAAUAAAUAAAUUUAAAAUAAAUUUUAAAUUAUUAAGUGAAAUUUUAAUUUAAAUAAAUUUUAUUAAAUAAUUAUGAUUUAAUAAAUUUUAAUAUAAACUAGGAUUAGAUACCCUAUUAUUAAAAAUUUAAUUAAAAAUAUUAAAAUAGUAAAUAAUAUAUUAUUGAAACUUAAAUAAUAUGGCGGUAUUUUAGUUCAUUUAGAGGAAUCUGUCUAGUAAUUGAUAAUCCACGAAUAAAUUUACUUAAUUUAAAAUUUUGUAUAUCAUUGUUAAAAAAAUAUUUUAAAAUAAAAAUAAUAUUUAAAAAUUUAAAUUUAAAAUUAAUUCAGAUCAAGAUGCAGAUUAUAAUUAAGAUAUUGAUGGGUUACAAUAAAUUUAUUUAAAUGGAAAAAUUUUUGUAAAAAUUAUUAAAAGUGGAUUUAAAUGUAAUUUUAUUUAAUUUAUUAAAAUGAUUAAAAAUUAAAAUAUGUACAUAUUGCCCGUCACUUUCAUUUUAAAGUUGAAAUAAGUCGUAACAAAGUAGAAGUACUGGAAAGUGUUUCUAGAAUGAA